ACGGGCUGUUGCUGGUCCUCGAAUGGGGACAUGUGCACGCUCUGUUUACACAUCCACUCACACCUGUGCACCCUCUGUAGUUUUACGGUCUGGGGGACCCUGUCUUCCUUCUGUAGUUCUACGUCUUUACACACACACUGUAAUAAAGUCUUAUGGAAUGUAUGCCGCGUCUAACGCAAAACAAUACAACUUUCAGCAACGGAUCUCUUGGCUCUCGCAUCGAUGAAGAACGCAGCGAAAUGCGAUAAGUAAUGUGAAUUGCAGAAUUCAGUGAAUCAUCGAAUCUUUGAACGCACCUUGCGCCCCUUGGAUAUUCCGAGGGGCAUGCCUGUUUGAGUAUCAUGAACACCUCAACUCUCAUGGUUUGCCAUGACGAGCUUGGAACUUGGGGGUUUUGCUGGCCUGUGGUCGGCUCCUCUCAAAUGAAUCAGCCUCCCAGUGUUUGGUGGCAUCACGGGUGUGAUAACUAUCUACGCUCGCGGUUGUCCACCAGGUAACCUUUGGUGACAAAGGUUCGCUGGAGCUCACAGAUGUCUCUCCUCAGCGAGGACAGCUUUUUAACGUUCGAUCUCAAAUCAGGUAGGACUACCCGCUGAACUUAAGCAUAUCAAUAAGCGGAGGAAAAGAAACUAACAAGGAUUCCCCUAGUAACUGCGAGUGAAGCGGGAAGAGCUCAAAUUUAAAAUCUGGCGUGCCUCUGGUCGUCCGAGUUGUAGUCUAGAGAAGUGUUUUCCGCGCUGGACCGUGUA
Molecule: ribosomal RNA, 749 nt
Filed under: uncultured fungus
Lineage: Eukaryota; Fungi
Description: eukaryotic LSU rRNA
Rfam family: 5.8S ribosomal RNA (bases 188-342)
Source: RNAcentral